UUCCCCCAUGACCCAUUAAGUUGUCUGCUCUGUUUCCCUCACUGAUUAAAGGCUCUAUUUCUGUUCCUUUUCAUUUUCUCAUUGGUUUUUGCCAAUGUAGCCCAAGGAAGUUGCUUGUUUGAGUCUUUUGUAGGCCUGUGAGGCCUGAAGUCCCUGCCCUGUGUCGCUAAUGAGCUCUGCUUUUGUAGGUUCCUGUGUCCGCAGUGGAAAUGCCCGGGUCUGCAGAUAUCACAGGGCUGAAUGUUCAGUUUGGGGCCCUCGAAUUUGGAUCAGAGCCAUCUCUCUCUGAGUUUGGAUCAACAGCUUCAGCCAGUGAAAAUAGCAGUCAGCUUCCUAUCAGCUUGUACCCGAAGUCUUUAAGUGAGCCCUUGAAUGCCUCUUUCCCAAUGACCAGUGCUGUACAGAACCCCACCUACACAACC
This 422-nucleotide long non-coding RNA is filed under the name Rattus norvegicus (Norway rat). RNAcentral describes it as "long non-coding RNA NONRATT023152". Lineage: Eukaryota; Metazoa; Chordata; Mammalia; Rodentia; Muridae. The record is from RNAcentral.